RNAcentral lists this long non-coding RNA (5612 nucleotides) under Canis lupus familiaris (dog). Its description in RNAcentral is "lncRNA (ENSCAFG00000051283.1)". Lineage: Eukaryota; Metazoa; Chordata; Mammalia; Carnivora; Canidae. The record is from RNAcentral.
UUUUUUUUUUUUUUUUUUUAAGAUUUUAUUUCUUUAUUUAUUCAUGAGAGUCAGAGAGAGAGGCAGAGACACAGGCAGAGGGAGAAGCAGGCUCCAUGCAGGGAGUCGAUCCCAGGUCUCUAGGAUCAUGCCCUGGGCUGAAGGCCGGCACUAAACCACUGAGCCACCCAGGGAUCCCCUAGAUUUGGUUUAAUGCUCCGUAGCCACUACCCUGAAAUUUCAGAUGACAUUUUUUUUUUUUUGAAUUUCUGUUUUGCAAGCAAAGUCUGAUGAGACGACAAAGCACGCGUGAGCAAAGGAGGUACGCUGGCCCCCGCGCGCACACACAUUGCCUUCAGGCCGGUGAGCAGAGCUUCAGGCGUGUGCUGAAGGCACAGCCAGGCCCAGCUCUGAAACCAGCUGUGCUCGUGGAAGAAGCACCCACGGCAGCAGUAGCAGCUGCAGCCCCCAAGGACAGAGAGCCCCCCCCGCCAGAAGCAGAGCCAGGGCAGCAGUGGGGGGCCGGUGUGCCCAGCCAUCCCCAGAGCCCAUCCCUGCAGCACCUGCACACAUUCUGACUCUCCAGUUGGAGAACCAGGGCUGCCAGGCCUCAAAACUGUCAGUAAAUUACCACAAAAUGAAAUGGUGCGCACGGACGUUGUAAUAAAACCUGUCAGAGAGCUAUUUGAAUCCUUUAAAGAGUUUAGAAGCUCUAGUUUUAAAAACUUUCACAGUGCCACAAAGCAAAUAUCCACAAGCUGAGAAAUAGAAAAUAAAUUUUAAAGACCAUUACUUUCAACAGAAAGGACAUUAUUUUCCUUUGAAGCUUGAGAUAAAUCAAUUAUUAAUAAGAGAUGAUUUAAAACUAAUUUUUCUUAUAAUGGAAGAUAAAGCAACAAAGGCAUACAUAAGCAUGUUUAAUUAUACACUAAUUAUGAAACUGCUUUCAAUUUCUUGUACAAUCUCUACAAGUUACAGGAAAUGCCAGAGGAAACAUUAAACUGCCAUUGGAUAAAUUUAUUUUUAAAAUUAAAUUCAGACUUACAUGAAGCUCAUCAUCAGCUCUAGACGUACUAACAUUUUUAUUUUGAAAUACUUUACCAGAAAUUUACCCCAAUGUUGUUUCAGCCUCUAAAAUAUACCUAACAUUUCCAGGAACCAUUGCACCAACAGAGAGAUCCUUCUCAAAAAUAACAAUUAUCAAAAAUCAUUUGAGAUCUUGCAUUUGCCAAGAAUGACUAAUUUCACUUCCAAUUAUAUCAAUUGAAAAUGAAGUUGCUGAAAGUAUAACUUUUGAUGACCUAAUAAAUGAAUUUGCAAAAAGGCAAACCAGCAAAAUCUUAUGAUCAAGAUCCAGGAUCAUGAUCCAGGAUCAUGCCCUGGGCCAAAGGCAGGCGCCAAACCGCUGAGCCACCCAGGGAUCCCCUCUUUUAGAACUUUUAAUGGCACUUCAUUCCUGCUUUUUGAACAAGGGCCCUAAAUUUUUAUUUUGCACUGGGCCCUGCAAAUGACACAGUCAGCCCCACCUGGACUGUUUUCCAGAGGUGAUAGAGCUGUGACCAUCGCCCUCUGUAAAGAAGGCUGGGCAUCUAUCUGUUAGACAGCUGGCCUUCGGAAGUAAACUGGUCCAUUCAGAGAAGGACCGGGGAUCUUGCGUCCUUACAUACUGGCCCACAGCUGAGCAAAAGCAAAAUAAUGUGCAGGCCAAUCAUAGGCCUCUCCUCUGUCAACUGCAGUGGAACUCCCAGCACACACACGCACACACACACACAUACACACACACCCCACCCCCAGCCACAUGGACUCUGCAGUGAGUUAUGGCUGAGAGCAUCAUCCCAAUCUCCCUCUUUUGUCGGUGUCUUUUCCUUCUCUGAUGAACAUCUGCACUCCUUUGGGGACAUGGCACAGAGAAAACUGUAUUCCUAUUGACGGACGUCAGCAUGAUAGGUUACAUUUUUGUUAUCCAGAUGCCCAUGCCCAGUUUUUCAGCCUUUGCCUCUGAAUACUAUUUGGUGAUUCCUGUUCAGAUACCCAGAAGCAGCUCUCACAGGGCCAAUUCCCCAAAGCUAGAGUCUUGGCAAUGGAUGAAAGCCCUGUAGGACUGCAGGCUCAAUUGAAGAAAAAGAAAGUCAACCUUCCAGGGAGGAGCUGUUGGGAUAGAAGCUGAUGCUCCGCUGUCCUCUGCUGAACAAGGCAGAGCACAGACUCUGCUGGCAAGGUGAUCUCCUUUUUAUUUCCUUUCAUACAAAACACAUUUGGCAACUUUCAUAAAAACACAACCACAAAAGACACCUGGGUGGCUCAGUGGUUGAGCAUCUGCCUUCGGCUCAGGGUGUGAUCCUGGGGUCACUGGGAUCUAGUCCUAUAUCAGACUCCCUGCAGGGAGCCUGCUUCUCCCUCUGCCUGUGUCUCUGCCUCUCUGUGAAUGAAUGAAUGAAUGAAUGAAUGAAUGAAUGAAUGAAUGAAUAAAUAAAUAAUCUUUAAAAAAACAAAAAACGCAACCACAAGUGUGAUUAUCCUUGAGCCACCUGAGCUCUAGACCCUUCUCCAGUUCCCACUACCGUACAACUUGAUGACUUGACCAUUUCCUGCCUUGUCCUGUUUUCUGUCUCCAUGUGCGUACAUCACAAGCUCCUGGAGGACAGAGACCACAUCUUCUUCUUCAUGAGUUACCCAGACUCCAAGCAUGAUGACAAUAAUAUAGUUCUUAGAACACUUACAGCCCACUUCCCAUUCGUUAACUUGUCAGCCCUCACAGCACACCUCUCCAAGCCAAGGUAAUGCUCCUUUUACAGAGGAGAUCAUUCCGUCUGACCAAACCUUUGUGGAGCAGGUGUCUUUAAAAGGGCACGCAUCACUCUCUUGGCACACCCCGAGCACAGUGCAUAUUACAACGCCAGGUAUUUCAUGAGACCCUGUGAUGACAGAUGUUUCCACGUUUAGCAUCAGAACCAUAACCCAGUGACUGUGUUUUCUACUACAUGGCAGCGCAUCCUGAGACUACCUCUCCUGUUACACCCACCUGCAUGGUUCUGGGACUGCUGAGCAUGUCAAGGACUUUGGGGCUCGAGGGGAUAGAGCUCUCCCAAACGUGAGUCUUCGAGGUGGCCUCCCACUUCCUGCACUCUUCUGAGGUACAGUGGGCAGCAACAGUGCUUGCUAAAGGCACCCUGCCUAGACUUGCUUCAUGACAGCAGUGACUAUCCACAAGCCAUAGGUUCUGGUUCUGUUUCUUGCCCUGAUAGGUUAGGGAAACAUAGAGGUGUAGGACUCCAAAACACAGCUUCCCCCACCCCCCCCCAUCCCCCCGCCUACCCCCACACACAAGGGCUUCUCUGAGUGACUAAGGCCCAGCAGAUUCUGGCCAACAGGACAGUCCCAACUCACUGCAACUUUAAUAAAUGGUUUUCACAUAUUUAUAACCAUGGAAUAAGGAAGACCUACAUAAGGUACAAAAACACAGAAGCCAUGAAGAAGAAAAUGACUAAAAGCCUGGGCAGAGUAAUAAUUCAAUAAACAAUAUCACAACGUUAAGAGAAAGUGGUAUAUUAAAAUAUCUGCAGCAGUUAGAACAAAGGAUUAACAGUCAAGAUGAAACCACGUAAGAGCAUAAAGGUGAACAAAAAACAAAAUGGCUGCACUAAUGCUUCUUCCAGGCCAUGCCGCCCUCGAGUGGAGCCCAGUACCGCCCUCAAGACACGACGAAGGAGGCUGGCAGCACAAUUUCUGUCGAAACCGGCUAGAUCCUAUAUUUCCCUAUAAACCCCCAGCCCCUUCCUCUGGGGUCUUGCAGUUUUUGAAGGCCUUAGCCUGUUGUAGCCUCCUUUGCCCGGCAAAGGAAUAAACCAGCUUCUUCCUCUACUAUACCUCUGCCCUUGGGUUACAUAUUUUUGGCUCGGGAGCACAGAGGUUGGUUUUCAACAAGUAUCAACAAUCUUACAAUAAGAAAAAAGGUGAACAAUUUAAUUAAAAAGGUGCACAAAAUGUAAAAGAAAUAUAAAUGGCAAACAGCAAAGGAAAAUAUGCCAAAUCUCGCUAUAAACAGAGAAAUGCAAUUAAAAUACUAAAAUAUAAUUGUUUUUUCAUGAAAUUAGCCAACAUUAAAGAGACGAAUAAUAAUCAGUAUUGGACCUUUAGCUAGACUUACCAGGAAAAAAAAAAGAGCAAAGACUCGAAUAAAUAAGAUUAUAUAUGAAAGGAGACAUUACAGAUGAUGCCACAGAAAUGCAAGAGACUACUAUGAACAAUUAUAAGCCAACAGAUUGGACAGCCUAAAAGAAAUGCAUAAAUUCCUAGAAAUACAUAACCUACCAAGACUGAAUCAUGAAAAAUUAGGAAACAUAAACAGACCAAUAACAAGUAGGGAGAUUAAGUCAAUAAGCAAAAACUCCCAACAAAGAAAAGCCCAGGGCUAGCUAACUCCACUGGUGAAUGCUACCAAACAUUUAAAGAAGAAUUAAUGCCAAUCCUUCUCAAACUCUUCCAAACAAUUGACCUGAAUAGACUUCCAAAGAAGGUAUACAAAUGGCCAACAAGUACACGAAAAUGUACUCAGCAUCACUCAUCAUCAGGGAAAUGCAAAUCAAAACCACAAUGAGAUAUCACCUGACACCUAUUAGAAUGGCUGUUAUCAAAAAGACAGGGAUUAAACAAAUACUGUAUGGUCUCAUUUAUAUGCAGAACCUAAAAAGCCACACUCACAGAAACACAAACAGAGUAGACUGGCGGUUGCCAGGGCCUAGGGGAUGGGGAAAAUGAGGUGAUGUUGGUCAAAAAAUACAAACUUCCAGUUAUAAGAGAGAUAAGUUCUGGGGAUCUGACCUUCAGCAAGGCAACUACAGUUAUUAUGAUAUUGUGUAUUUGAGAGCCCCUAAAAGAGUAGAUCUCUUAAGUGUUCUCACCUUAACAACAGCAACAAAAAAUGGUAAUUAUGUAAGGUGAUGGAUGUGGUAACCUCACAGUGCCAAUCAUUUCACAAUAUAUGUGUGUAUCACAUCAUUACAUCGUGCUCUUGAAACUUAAGAAUGUUAUAUGUUAUAUGAUAUGAUGAUAUCUCAAUAAAGCUGGAAGAGAAAAAAGUAUCUAGUGUUGGGAGUUAGGACAGCAGGUAGGUUGCAUCAAAUUUUAAAAUGUCUAUGCUAGGCCACCUGGGUGGCUCAGUGAUUGAGCAUCUGCCUUCGGCUCAGGUCACAAUCCCAGGGUCCUGGGAUCAAGUUCUGCAUCAGGCUCCCCACAGGGAGCCUGCUUCUCCCUCUGUCUGUGUCUCUGCCUCUCUCUGUGUGUCUCUCAUAAAUGAAUAAAUACAAUAUUUAAAAAAAUAAAAAUAAAACAUCUAUGCUCUGUGACACAGCAUUCUACUCCCAACAGCUAACCUAGAGAAGCACCUGAACUUGUAAAUGAAGGAUCAUGUAAAAAAAACAAUGUUAAUUACAAUACUGUUUAUAUAAGCUCAACACUGGGGACAAACUUAAAUGCCCUCUAGUAGGGCACCUGGGUGGUUCAGUUGGUUAAUCAUCUGCCUUUGGCUCGGCUCAUGAUCCCAGGGUCCUGGGAUUGAGCCUGCUUCCUCCUUUGUCUCCGCCUCUCUCUCUGUCUCUCAUGAAUAAAAAUCUUUAAAAAAAAAAAAAAAAAAA